AACAUUAUUAUUAUUAUUAUUAUUAUUAUUACUUUCGAGUGCAACAAGAGAGGGUGGAGUAAAAUUCAGGCUUACAGAAAAUCUAAUGCGAUUGAAGGCUCAGAUGCGUUACGAGAACCUAAUUGAUUCGAUUUCGGAUUUCCAUGGACGGAACUCGUAAACAGCAGGUGUCGCUGAGAGGAGCAAGUGCGAAGGAGAUAACAAGAGAUGUGCUUCUUGAAAAGGUUAACAGAGAAAGAGAGCUUCGCAAUCAUGCUAAACGA
Molecule: non-coding RNA, 263 nt
Organism: Arachis ipaensis
Lineage: Eukaryota; Viridiplantae; Streptophyta; Magnoliopsida; Fabales; Fabaceae
Source: RefSeq, a predicted model, not a curated record